GGCCAGACUCCUACGGGAGGCAGCAGUGGGGGAUAUUGCACAAUGGGGGGAACCCUGAUGCAGCGACGCCGCGUGGGUGAAGAAGCGCCUCGGCGCGUAAAGCCCUGUCAGCAGGGAAGAAAAUGACGGUACCUGAAGAAGAAGCACCGGCUAAAUACGUGCCAGCAGCCGCGGUAAUACGUAUGGUGCAAGCGUUAUCCGGAUUUACUGGGUGUAAAGGGAGCGCAGGCGGUACGGCAAGUCUGAUGUGAAAGCCCGGGGCUCAACCCCGGUACUGCAUUGGAAACUGUCGGACUAGAGUGUCGGAGGGGUAAGUGGAAUUCCUAGUGUAGCGGUGAAAUGCGUAGAUAUUAGGAGGAACACCAGUGGCGAAGGCGGCUUACUGGACGAUUACUGACGCUGAGGCUCGAAAGCGUGGGGAGCAAACAGGAUUAGAUACCCUUGUA
RNAcentral lists this ribosomal RNA (446 nucleotides) under uncultured bacterium. RNAcentral's name for it is "bacterial SSU rRNA". It matches the Rfam family "Bacterial small subunit ribosomal RNA", at positions 329 to 792 of the family's 1533-position model. The record is from RNAcentral.